AUUGCAGAACACAUUGAACAUCGACAUCUUGAACGCAUAUGGCGGCCUCGGGUCCAUCCCGAUGCCACGCCCGUCUGAGGGUCGGCG
Molecule: ribosomal RNA, 87 nt
Filed under: Otoconcha dimidiata
Lineage: Eukaryota; Metazoa; Mollusca; Gastropoda; Stylommatophora; Otoconchidae
Description: partial 5.8S ribosomal RNA
Rfam family: 5.8S ribosomal RNA
About the family: 5.8S ribosomal RNA (5.8S rRNA) is a component of the large subunit of the eukaryotic ribosome. It is transcribed by RNA polymerase I as part of the 45S precursor that also contains 18S and 28S rRNA.
Source: RNAcentral